RNAcentral lists this long non-coding RNA (1361 nucleotides) under Oreochromis niloticus (Nile tilapia). RNAcentral describes it as "lncRNA (ENSONIG00000031007.1)". Lineage: Eukaryota; Metazoa; Chordata; Actinopteri; Cichliformes; Cichlidae. The record is from RNAcentral.
GCUUAGGUGAACAUCAACACCAGCCCCUUGGUUUUGUUGUUCAGGAGAAGACGGUUCUUAUUACUCCAGACAGUUAAAUAAAUUUAUCAUAAUACACUACAUUUUAACAUAAUGACCUUAUAUUUAUUUAUGACUUUUAACCAUUAUUUCAGAUUCAAAUAAUCCUGUUUGAAAUAUUUAUUAAACUUAUAGAAUUAAAUUUCUGCUAGUUGUUUUCUGUUGCAAAGAAAUCUAGUAUAAUAAUAUUUAAAUUUACAUAUAUAUCUUUCACGUUUUCAAUGCCAAUUUUGUGUAAUACUGUAAUUUCCCACUACCCGUGAAUGCCUCUUGUUUACAUCGCUGGCUCACUCCUGCAUCUCCGCCCACUCUCUGCUCAAUCCCUGCCGAGUGAACGAGAUCUUUGGUUUUGCCUUUGCUGACUGCUGAUCUGAUUGUCUCAAGUCUGGUAAGUAAAGGUUUUUCUGAGGUGCAGUGCUGGGAAAUGUUUCUCAUCAUAGGAGAUUCAGUGUAGUGCUGUGAGUGAGCACAGCUAUUGGUGAUCAUCAAAAGUCAUCAAAUCCUAGAAAAGUCUGUGUAAACAUUUUCAGACCUACAGAGGUUGGUAGGUUAUUGUAGCAGUGCAUAUUUUUUCACAUUAGAGCAGCUCAUGAACAGCAGUUUAGGUACAAUUAAGUCUUCAAGUAGGGCCUUGUGGAUUUCAAAAGCUUCUUUCCCUUCAUUAAAUUAAGUCACUGUCUGAAAACUGCUCUUUGAAUUAGUCUUUUAUAAUUAAAGAUUUUGUUGAUGACUGGAAAAAAUAAAAAGCAUAGCACAGCACUCAUUUCUGUAUUUUAUGAUUAAAUGAUCUACAAAGAAAUUAUGAUCAUAUAUAUUUUUAAUUAGGCCUUUAAAUCGGUCAUUAUAAGUACGUCCUAGAUUUAGUGGAGUGCUUAUGGCUGUGUAUCAAACAUGCCCCAAAUGUGAUUGAAAUAUGUAGAAACAGUAUUGUUUACUUUUAUGUUAACGGAUCUCAAAUCCCUGUUUCUGUGUGCCCAGAUAUUAUGAUGUACUGUUGUCCCAGGUAAGUACACACAGAAACAGGGAUUUGAGAACUUUGGGGAUUAAGGAACAUGUGAUGUGGCAUGAAUUUUAAGUAGGUGGCCUGAAACUGUCUGCUCUAACCUCAGUGUGUUGGUUUUGUUGGACCAUAUAAUAUUUACAGUAAGUUAUUGUAGCAGCACAUCUUGGUGUAAGUUUAUAGACUGUUUGUUUUUAUUGUGUUAAUAGAAUUUGAAUUCAGGCCACCUCAAAUGUUAAAGCCUACAAACAUUCCAUACAAGCUAUCAUUUGUGAUUGUUGCCUACUUUUAAAUUGUGACAUUG